CGCGGUGGCCAAGGCGUUUGGCUGAUAACACCAACUCCAAGUAAGGGGGACCUCUUAUAACAAUUUUCUAAAUACUUUGAAGAGUGCUUGUGAUUCCAGCCUUUCAGAGAAUUUAGACAUUCUGAACAUCUAGUUGGCUCCAAAUUGUGAACCACAGGAUGAGUAUUCAGUGGGCAUGAGAGAUUGAGAACAUUCUACCACACCAUAAACCUUGGUGUAGAUCACUUCCUAUUCUGUGGAUUGAAGCCAGAGAGCACAAUGAGUACAAGAAAUCCUCAAAGAAAGCGGCGUGGUGGAGCUGUGAAUUCUAGACAAACCCAGAAGCGAACUCGGGAAACAACUUCAACCCCUGAGAUUUCCUUGGAAGCAGAACCCAUAGAACUUGUGGAAACCGUUGGAGAUGAAAUCGUGGACCUCACCUGUGAAUCUUUAGAGCCUGUGGUUGUGGACCUGACUCACAAUGACUCUGUUGUGGUUCCUUAGAAAGGAGAAGGCCAAGGAGAAAUGGGAGGAGGUUGCGCCAAGACCAUGCUGACAGCUGUGUGGUGAGCAGUGAUGAUGAAGAACUGUCUAAGGACAAAGAUGUAUACGUGACUACCCAUACUCCUCGAAGCACCAAGGAUGAAGGAACUACUGGACUU
Molecule: long non-coding RNA, 641 nt
Filed under: Rattus norvegicus (Norway rat)
Lineage: Eukaryota; Metazoa; Chordata; Mammalia; Rodentia; Muridae
Description: long non-coding RNA NONRATT010043
Source: RNAcentral